Small nuclear RNA from Molossus molossus (Pallas's mastiff bat), 191 nucleotides. RefSeq annotates it as U2 spliceosomal RNA. The transcript has a single exon. The record is from RefSeq and is a predicted model, not a curated record. Lineage: Eukaryota; Metazoa; Chordata; Mammalia; Chiroptera; Molossidae.
AUUGCUUCUCAGGCUUUUGGCUAAGAUCAAGUGUGAUAUCUGUUCUUAUCAGUUUAAUAUCUGAUACAUCCUUUACCCGAGGACAUUAUAUUAAAUGUAUUUUUGGAGCAAGAAGAUGGAAUAGGAGCUUGCCCUGUCCACUCCGUGCAUCAACCCAGUAUUGCAGUACUUCUGGGACCGGGGCACCAAGA